RNAcentral lists this non-coding RNA (28 nucleotides) under Mus musculus (house mouse). The record is from RNAcentral. Lineage: Eukaryota; Metazoa; Chordata; Mammalia; Rodentia; Muridae.
UAAUGAUAGGUGUCAUGUGGCCUGGAUU